CCUACGGGAGGCAGCAGUGAGGAAUAUUGGUCAAUGGACGAGAGUCUGAACCAGCCAAGUAGCGUGAAGGAUGACUGCCCUAUGGGUUGUAAACUUCUUUUAUAUGGGAAUAAAAGAGGGUAUGUAUCCCCGCUUGUAUGUACCACAUGAAUAAGGAUCGGCUAACUCCGUGCCAGCAGCCGAGGUAAUACGGAGGAUCCGAGCGUUAUCCGGAUGUAUUGGGUUUAAAGGGAGCGUAGGUGGAUUGGUAAGCCAGGUGUGAAAGUUUGCGGCUCAACCGUAGAAUUGCAGUUGAAACUGGCAGUCUUGAGUACAGUAGAGGUGGGCGGAAUUCGUGGUGUAGCGGUGAAAUGCGUAGAUAUCACGAAGAACUCCGAUUGCGAAGGCAGCUCACUGGACUGCAACUGACGCUGAUGCUCGAAAGUGUGGGUAUCAAACAGGAUUAGAUACCCCAGUAGUC
Molecule: ribosomal RNA, 460 nt
Filed under: uncultured bacterium
Lineage: Bacteria
Description: partial 16S ribosomal RNA
Rfam family: Bacterial small subunit ribosomal RNA
Source: RNAcentral